AUAGUGUUGUGCUCUCAAGGGUUUCAAUCCAUAAUCUUCUCGCGUACAUACUACCUAUGGAUACCUUGGAUCCAUCAUGACAUAACUAUGCUCAUUAGGUGAGUUUAUAAAUUAAGAAACAUGUUGUCUAAACAAACCAUAACAUGAAGGAGCCUAUAUGGCAGGGUUAAUAUCUUUUCUUGAUUUUCUUUGUUGCUGGUCUGCCACAAUCUCCUGUUCGAGCAAGUACCUUGCCAAGAUGGCAUGUUCUGACUGUUGUAGGUUAGUGAAAUGGCUUCUCAUGAACUUUUGUUCUUAUCCCCUUUCAGUCAGAUAGUUAUAUUGUGAACCCCUUGAUAAUGAAGCUCUCUGUGAAUUAUUAGAGCAUUUACAGUUUUCAUUGUAAAUCUGAAUGUUUUUGCAGGCAAUUGGUUUGUAAAAGCAAUGGCACCUGAUAACUAUUAAAGCAUUGGGUGUCGUUGUUGUUGCACUUUCUAGAAGUAUGGGGGUUGAUUUUCUGUCAAUUGUGCAUUAAAACUGACAACUACUAAAUUUCAGUGCCUUCUUUGACAAUUUUAGUUAAAUAGAAUGGUGUAUGAAAUUAUCGGUGUCACCUAGGAGUUAUCAUGGCUUGGUUGGAUAAUAGCAGUUUUACUGUGUUGAUAUUAACGUCAACACAAACAAACUCUCAUCUACGUUUGCUUCGUCUCCUACCAGGAAAUAAUGUGUGCAUACCUAUCCACUUAAACGCUGCCCGGGGCUACUAUGUACUCGGCCCCAACGAUAGAGUUUAACGGCGAGACACGCCGAUCUCACAACUUUCCAGCCAAUGCUGCUCACUGGCUCCAUCCUCCACUCAACGAGGAAAAGCUGAAUGCUUGAGGAAAAGAAACUAUGAGUUCUCUGCAUUUAAUCGACAUCGUUUUGGUUACUUCGAUUCUCCUCCUACAAUUUUUGCAUCGGCUGCCUGAUGUGAUGCUUUGUAUGAGAACAAGACUAAUAUGAUUUGUCUUUGCUGCAUGUACCAUUCGACUUAGUUGUACUCAGUAAGGAAUAUUUUAGAAAAUAAGUCCCAACAACGUGGAUGUCAGAUUUAUUAACUACUAUGGCUCUUGGUUUUGAAGAAUUUGAUUAUUGGGAUUUUAGUCAUGCCCUGACCACGUACAAUAGAUGUAGACACCAUUGUUGCUUCCUAUUUGCAUGUGAUUUAGAUAUUUGUAAACCUUAUCUGUACCAUUGAAUUAUGUUGGUAUGUAGGUCGCUCGAUAUGUUCAUCGAUGCUGUGGACAGCAAUUUUUAUUAUCGUUGCCCAUAUCUAUCUAAUUAGGUUUGUACGGCAAUUUGUUUUGUUUAUCAUAUUUAUCUAGAAAAUCAGAUUUAUGAAGCUUAUAAUUUAUUAGUUUUUCUGUAAUUUCCCUUUUUUUGCUGAUACUCCACUACUCAGGAUUAUAAGAGCAUCACCUUUGUGAGCAUUUUUCUUUCAGUUGUAGCAAGGUGUUAGUACGGUUCUACACAGAAAGCUGCACAGCAUGCCUAAUUUUGUACUUACCUUGCAGUUAUGUAGAUCUACUACAACUAUAUGAUGUCCUCAUAUCAGAACUUUGCAAGCAUGACAAAAUAUCAGCAUAUGAUUUUCGCCUCUUUUUUAUGUUCUGAAUUUCUGUAAUUUGAGACUUUGAGUGGGGAUUAAGAGCACGAUAAUUGCAAGGAUUUUCCUCUUCGGUUUUGUAAGUUAUUGGUGUUGUUCCAGUCCAUUACCGCAGAGCACGCCUUUGGUUAGAUCGUACAUUCAUAGUAGUUUGAUGUACUACGUUUCGGUUGGCAUAUAGGAUUCUUAUGGGGACAUGUGAUUCACUUUAUUUCGUUCUGUUUUCAGGCCGACGAAAUUGCUGGACUGGAAAAAAAACAGUGCGUAUAUAUGGUAAUUCUCAUUGCGAAAAAAAUCUGUGCGUAUAUAUGGUAAUUCUCAUUGCAACGUACAUCUUCCUCUAGAAAAGGCAUUGCUGUAAUAAUAAUUUCUAUAUAUUUUCUAAUAACUUCUGGUUGGACACUUGAGCUCGGUUAGUAAGUCUUUACUUUGAAAUAUAUUCACUAAUUGCGAAAUUAAUGUUUGUAUGCAGUUACAUGGUUUAAUAUUUUUUAGUACAAAAACAUGGUUGUCUAUAUGCAAGUCUAAGCAAUCUUUUGAAAAUACCUUUCUAUUUAAAGUGUCAGGAGAUUUCUUACUACAGAAACUAAUUUUCUAUAAAAUCCAUCGCUACUCUUUUGAAUAUUUUAUUUCCCCCAAUCAAAUGUAUGAUUUUCAGUAUUUUUAUCAUCUACGCCAACUUUAUAUGUAUUAAGUAAAGUCAUGUGCAUUUGUUAGGUCCUUGCAUGGAUUUUCUUGAUUAUUGGUAGUGUGGAAUAUUUUACUACCCCGAACUACAAAAAGAGGGGCGCAAAAUAUUUGACAGCUAACUCUGACCAUCAUUAGAGUAAACUAUGUUAUGGCAUGCGAGUUGGCAGGAUCAACAACUUAUCAGAACUUUCCUCCAGUUGCACUCAUAUGCUAAAGAUCAUAACAUCUCUGUUCUUAUGACUAAAUUACAUGAUGACACUAAUAUUUAUGAAUUAUUUCACAUCCCUGUGUUACCCAUUGCUGUACAACAGCUACAGGAGUUGAUACAGAGCUUCAACAUUGAGAAUGAUGCUAUUCAAUAAGACAGCUGGCCAUUUCACUUGGGUAAUGGAAAAUAAUGUACCAGAAACAAACCCUUAUUGGUGAUCCUCAGUCUGCUCCAGCACCAUUCAAAUGGAUACGGAAAUAUGCAUGCUUAAAAAAAGUUGACUGGCUUAUACAGGAGAGACUCAACACAAGAGAUCCGAUGAAGAGAGAUAAUUUCUUUGCUGAGUAUGAAAAAUGUUUUCUAUGUGAGGAAGGCACAGAUGAAACUAUGAUGUAUUUUUUAUCAUGUGCACCCAGUUAGAUUUUUGGUGGAAUCUAAGUAUUGAAUGGGAUGCUGAUAUGCUCAAUGAAGCAAAGAACAGGAAGAGCAUCAUAUGUUUCAAAAAGAUAAUAACCGGAUGUUGGUCUAUAUGGAAGCAUAGAAACAUCUUUGAUAACAAAGAUACUAAUAUAAAGACAUGCAUAUUCAAUUUCAAGAAGCAUUUUUGUAUCAUAAUGAAGAAGUCAAAGCCUAGCCUAAAGGAGUGAUAACACAUAGAAAGACAUGUAAUUUCUUUUCCUCUCCUGUACAUAUCCACAUGUACAUUAUCCAUCAUAUUAAUAGAAAAUGAGUCACAGUUGGGGUUUACCCUACUAUAUGUUGCUCAAAAAAAUUAUUCUAAAUAUUCGUAAGUCAUGUAACUUAUAAGUUGUACCCCUAAA
Molecule: long non-coding RNA, 3346 nt
Filed under: Triticum aestivum (bread wheat)
Lineage: Eukaryota; Viridiplantae; Streptophyta; Magnoliopsida; Poales; Poaceae
Description: long non-coding RNA (TAES_LNC018196)
Source: RNAcentral